Molecule: ribosomal RNA, 497 nt
Filed under: uncultured bacterium
Lineage: Bacteria
Description: partial 16S ribosomal RNA
Rfam family: Bacterial small subunit ribosomal RNA
Source: RNAcentral
GACGAACGCUGGCGGCGUGCCUAAUACAUGCAAGUAGAACGCUGAAGAGAGGAGCUUACUCUUCUUGGAUGAGUUGCGAACGGGUGAGUAACGCGUAGGUAACCCGCCUUGUAGCGGGGGAUAACUAUUGGAAACGAUAGCUAAUACCGCAUAACAAUGGAUGACACAUGUCAUUUAUUUGAAAGGGGCAAUUGCUCCACUACAAGAUGGACCUGCGUUGUAUUAGCUAGUAGGUGAGGUAAUGGCUCACCUAGGCGACGAUACAUAGCCGACCUGAGAGGGUGAUCGGCCACACUGGGGCUGAGACACGGCCCAGACUCCUACGGGAGGCAGCAGUAGGGAAUCUUCGGCAAUGGGGGCAACCCUGACCGAGCAACGCCGCGUGAGUGAAGAAGGUUUUCGGAUCGUAAAGCUCUGUUGUAAGUCAAGAACGGGUGUGAGAGUGGAAAGUUCACACUGUGACGGUAGCUUACCAGAAAGGGACGGCUAACUACGUG